CCCCUCCCAGGAUUACAUCUGGAGAGUUUCCAGGACUCUACCAGUCUCGGCUACAGGAGGGAGAGUCAAGCAGAAGUAUCCCCAUUCCAUUCCUAGCUUGAGCUGUGGCUAGAGAGUAUAAGGCAAUCUGCUACAAAU
Small nucleolar RNA from Ornithorhynchus anatinus (platypus), 138 nucleotides. NCBI's taxonomy places the organism in Eukaryota, Metazoa, Chordata, Mammalia, Monotremata, Ornithorhynchidae. The record is from RefSeq and is a predicted model, not a curated record.